UACGAAGGGGGCUAGCGUUGCUCGGAAUUACUGGGCGUAAAGCGCACGUAGGCGGCUUCUUAAGUCGGUGGUGAAAUCCUGGAGCUCAACUCCAGAACUGCCUUCGAUACUGGGAAGCUCGAGUCCGGGAGAGGGAUGCGGAAUUCCAGGUGUAGCGGUGAAAUGCGUAGAUAUCUGGAGGAACACCGGUGGCGAAGGCGGCAUCCUGGACCGGCAUUGACGCUGAGGCGCGAAAGCUAGGGGAGCAAACGGG
This 253-nucleotide ribosomal RNA is filed under the name uncultured bacterium. RNAcentral's name for it is "partial 16S ribosomal RNA". It matches the Rfam family "Bacterial small subunit ribosomal RNA", at positions 524 to 776 of the family's 1533-position model. The record is from RNAcentral.